Long non-coding RNA from Homarus americanus (American lobster), 1212 nucleotides. RefSeq lists it as uncharacterized. The transcript has 6 exons. The record is from RefSeq and is a predicted model, not a curated record. Lineage: Eukaryota; Metazoa; Arthropoda; Malacostraca; Decapoda; Nephropidae.
UCUGUGUCAAGAGAAAACACUCAGUUAAUAAUCUGCACAACAAUGCGUAUACACGUUCGUUGUUCCGUGACACUGUAUAUCCUAGUUGCGGGUGCGCGCAGUGUGUGUGUGUGCGUGUGUGACGCAAGACACUACUGAGUGGCAGGAGGGCUGAGCGUGGCGGGCAGGAGUGGAGGCAGCGUAUGUGCUGCGGGUGGACUCAGCCACUCACUGCUUCACUACCCGCACUCCCUCCCGCACCGCCGUGCCCACACACGCAGGAUACAACAGUUUUAAUAGUGAUGUCAGUUCACAGAAAAACAUUAACAAUCGAGUAUCAGAGAAAGAGUACUGCAUUGAGAAAUAAAAAAGAAUUGGCAGUUGUUUCCCAACUUAUGGUCAGACUGCAGUGUUACAGUGCAAUUUACUACUGUAUUCGUAAAUAUUUUGGCAAAAAAGAUUGAGGCAGGGAUUGGUCAGCUGUAUAAUUAGGACCAGUCCCAGGCUGGCAUGUAAAGACACUGACGUACUCUGAACCACAGUAGCCAGAACCUCGCUCUUGAAAUGUGUUUCAUUUAAAGAAAAAUGAGCUCACUCACCUUUAACUCUUUCACGUACACAACAUAACAUGACAAAUGAAUGAGAAAAUAUUUAACAAAAAGAGUUCCUGAGCAAUGAACACGCGCAUCACCAGAAGUUAACACAGUACUGUACAGUUUAACUCUCGCUGUGGACACCCUGGCCUUGGCCUACACUAUGGAGAACAGCUGUCUUACAGUCAGUCUCUCCGCCCUACCCUGGGGGUGACCAGCUGAGCCCGACGCCAACGCCUACACCGCCUCCAUCAGAUUAUGUGGCUGUCUGAGGUGAAUGGCUGGCUGGCUCAGGUGGACUGCUGGCUGGCUCAGGUGGAAGGCUUGCUGAGGCGAACGUCUGGCAGGACUAGAACACCACCAAACAGGUUUGUUUGGCUGACUGUGGACCCACAACAAGGUGCUGCCUGGAGGUUUUAAAGAUACGUUGUGAUGGAGGCGUCUUCACGAUUUCACAAUCUAUCCAGUAUUUCCUACUUCAACAUUUUUAAUGGACUCCACUUAAGGCAAAACGAACUUCCAUUCAACAACUGGUGUGCAGUGUCCAGAUUGUCAACAUUCCGUAAUUAAAGUCCCUACUGUAUUCUACUUCACGUACUAUGUAUAUAUUACUUUCAAAAUAAUAGUAUGCAUACAGAGU